GACGAACGCUGGCGGCGUGCCUAAUACAUGCAAGUCGAACGCACAGUUUAUACCGUAGCUUGCUACACCAUAGACUGUGAGUUGCGAACGGGUGAGUAACGCGUAGGUAACCUGCCUGGUAGCGGGGGAUAACUAUUGGAAACGAUAGCUAAUACCGCAUAAUAUUAAUUAUUGCAUGAUAAUUAAUUGAAAGGUGCAAUUGCACCACUACCAGAUGGACCUGCGUUGUAUUAGCUAGUAGGUGAGGUAACGGCUCACCUAGGCGACGAUACAUAGCCGACCUGAGAGGGUGAUCGGCCAAACUGGGACUGAGACACGGCCCAGACUCCUACGGGAGGCAGCAGUAGGGAAUCUUCGGCAAUGGACGAAAGUCUGACCGAGCAACGCCGCGUGAGUGAAGAAGGUUUUCGGAUCGUAAAGCUCUGUUGUAAGAGAAGAACGGGUGUGAGAGUGGAAAGUUCACACUGUGACGGUAUCUUACUAGAAAGGGACGGCUAACUACGUG
Molecule: ribosomal RNA, 505 nt
Filed under: uncultured bacterium
Lineage: Bacteria
Description: partial 16S ribosomal RNA
Rfam family: Bacterial small subunit ribosomal RNA
Source: RNAcentral